Pelobates cultripes (western spadefoot toad) is the source of this 371-nucleotide non-coding RNA. Lineage: Eukaryota; Metazoa; Chordata; Amphibia; Anura; Pelobatidae. The record is from the annotation of a GenBank genome assembly.
UCCAUGCUUGCAGUUAAGUGGCUUGGAACAAAAAUCCUGUUUACACAGACAUCUAAGGGAAAAUCAGACACUGUUUCUGUAAAAACAUGCAAAUCAACAAUUUUGAAAUUCUUUUCUUAUUAAAAUGUAUACUAUAUAGAUUUUAUUUGUAUAUUAAAAUGUAUAUUGACUCCCAAGAGGUUUAUCGACUAAAACUGAGACAGACAAGAUAAUUUUUAGAAAGCAUUAAAUGCAGAGGAGGCUAGUUUGGAGAUUUUUCCAGUUUAUUUUAGCAUUAUCUAAAAAUCACUUGUCAUCUUUUCACAAUUUCUAUUUUAGUGAAUAAUUUGCUAUAUCAUUGAACCAGAUUAUUCUUGAUCAAGAGGUUUCCG